UACGGGGGGAGCAAGCGUUGUUCGGAUUUACUGGGCGUAAAGGGCGCGUAGGCGGCCACCGCAAGUCGGUUGUGAAAUCUCUGGGCUUAACCCAGAAAGGUCAACCGAUACUGCGGGGCUAGAGUGCAGAAGGGGCAACUGGAAUUCUCAGUGUAGCGGUGAAAUGCGUAGAUAUCGAGAGGAACACCUGCGGCGAAGGCGGGUUGCUGGGCUGACACUGACGCUGAUGCGCGAAAGCUAGGGGAGCGAACGGG
This 254-nucleotide ribosomal RNA is filed under the name uncultured bacterium. RNAcentral describes it as "partial 16S ribosomal RNA". It matches the Rfam family "Bacterial small subunit ribosomal RNA", at positions 524 to 776 of the family's 1533-position model. The record is from RNAcentral.